UACAGAGGGUGCAAGCGUUAAUCGGAAUUACUGGGCGUAAAGCGUGCGUAGACGGUUAUGUAAGUCGGGUGUGAAAGCCCCGGGCUCAACCUGGGAAUGCCAUUCGAGACUGCAUAGCUAGGGUGCGGAAGAGGGAAGCGGAAUUUCCGGCGUAGCGGUGAAAUGCGUAGAUAUCGGAAGGAACACCAGUGGCGAAAGCGGCUUCCUGGUCCAGCACCGACGUUCAGGCACGAAAGCGUGGGGAGCAAACAGG
RNAcentral lists this ribosomal RNA (253 nucleotides) under uncultured bacterium. Its description in RNAcentral is "partial 16S ribosomal RNA". It matches the Rfam family "Bacterial small subunit ribosomal RNA", at positions 524 to 776 of the family's 1533-position model. The record is from RNAcentral.